AUUGAACGCUGGCGGCAUGCCUUACACAUGCAAGUCGAACGGUAACAGGUCUUCGGAUGCUGACGAGUGGCGAACGGGUGAGUAAUACAUCGGAACGUGCCCGAUCGUGGGGGAUAACGAAGCGAAAGCUUUGCUAAUACCGCAUACGAUCUACGGAUGAAAGCAGGGGACCGCAAGGCCUUGCGCGAACGGAGCGGCCGAUGGCAGAUUAGGUAGUUGGUGGGAUAAAAGCUUACCAAGCCGACGAUCUGUAGCGGGUCUGAGAGGACGAGCAGCCACACUGGGACUGAGACACGGCCCAGACUCCUACGGGAGGCAGCAGUGGGGAAUUUUGGACAAUGGGCGAAAGCCUGAUCCAGUCAUGCCGCGUGCAGGAUGAAGGCCUUCGGGUUGUAAACUGCUUUUGUACGGAACGAAAAGACUCUGGUUAAUACCUGGGGUCCAUGACGGUACCGUAAGAAUAAGCACCGGCUAACUACGUG
This 482-nucleotide ribosomal RNA is filed under the name uncultured bacterium. RNAcentral's name for it is "partial 16S ribosomal RNA". It matches the Rfam family "Bacterial small subunit ribosomal RNA", at positions 30 to 507 of the family's 1533-position model. The record is from RNAcentral.